RNAcentral lists this ribosomal RNA (484 nucleotides) under uncultured bacterium. RNAcentral describes it as "partial 16S ribosomal RNA". It matches the Rfam family "Bacterial small subunit ribosomal RNA", at positions 30 to 507 of the family's 1533-position model. The record is from RNAcentral.
AUUGAACGCUGGCGGCAUGCUUUACACAUGCAAGUCGAACGGCAACACGGGCUUCGGCCCGGCGGCGAGUUGCCGACGGGUGAGUAAUGCAUACGAACGUGCCCUGUCGUGGGGGAUAGGCCGGCGAAAGCCGGAUUAAUCCCGCAUACGACCUGAGGGUGAAAGCGGGGGACCAAAAGUGCUCGCGCUAUUUGCUCUGACGAUGUCGGAUUAGCUAGUUGGUUGGGUAAAGGCUUACCAAGGCGACGAACCGUAGCUGGUCUGAGAGGACGACCAGCCACACUGGAACUGAGACACGGCCCAGACUCCUACGGGAGGCAGCAGUGGGGAAUUUUGGGCAAUGGGGGCAAGCCUGAUCCAGCCAUGCCGCGUGCGGGAAGAAGGCCUUCGGGUUGUAAACCGCUUUUGUUCGGGAAGAAAUCCUCUGGGCUAAUACCCCGGGGGGAUGACGGUACCGGAAGAAUAAGCACCGGCUAACUACGUG